This is a long non-coding RNA of Triticum aestivum (bread wheat), 696 nucleotides long. RefSeq lists it as uncharacterized. Lineage: Eukaryota; Viridiplantae; Streptophyta; Magnoliopsida; Poales; Poaceae. The record is from RefSeq and is a predicted model, not a curated record. The transcript is spliced from 2 exons.
UGUGGGUGGUGAAGCUCUGGUGGAUGAUGAAUGCGGCAAUCAAUCUUCAGUUUGCGGGAGCAUUCAUUACGAUUGAUGUGGGCCACCCACCGUCUGUGAUUACAUGGAAGUGUGCGUUCCUUUUUCCUCCAACCUUUUUCUAUAGCUCCCCUAUUCUCUCCAGGUUAUCUUCAGCUCCAUCCCCAUGAUUCCUUCAUGUCAGAUCUCGCUGGAUCCUGCUACUUGCCAUAAAAUACUAGGGCCGAAGGAGGGCGCAGCUUGUGUUCCUAGGCGUGCGGCGCAACUGUCCAAGAUAGUAGUUGUGCUGCUGCACCGGGCACUUGAGGAUCUGAGAUGGUCAUGGGCGGCGGAUCCAAAGGAUUUGUUUUCCUGGAGCACCUCGUCCUCAUAUUGCUCUAUCAACACCUCUCAAAAAACCUCCAACGACAGAUUGUUGGACAUUACGUGAGAUGACAAGAAAUCUCAAAUGAAGAUAAGAAUUCAGCAAAGCCAGUGAGUCUACUCUGUGCAAUAUUUAGUAGCCCUGUAAUUUAUAUGUACUGAAGGUGUCACCAAAGAAAGGGAGACCAAACUUUGAUCAUGUUGCUGUCAGAUGGUGUUUCCAGACCAAUUCAGCAAUGUAAGUUUCAGAGACUGUGAUUGUUCUGUGGAGCUCAAAACAACUAUUUCAAUUUUAGUUUGUUGAUUUUGAUGUAA